AUGUGAGGGUGAUCUGGCUGUAGCAUGGCAUCCCAUUGGUGCCAGGUUGACUGGGCUGAUGCUGGCUAGGCAUGUGUCACCCCUACUCCCUCACUCGUCUGUGUGCAUCCUUUCCAAAAAUGCAUGUGUGGGAGAAGAUGACUCCUGACCUGGGAGGGGGUGAGGUG
This 167-nucleotide small nuclear RNA is filed under the name Neotoma lepida (desert woodrat). RNAcentral describes it as "7SK RNA". It matches the Rfam family "7SK RNA", at positions 3 to 171 of the family's 331-position model. From Rfam's summary of the family: 7SK was discovered as an abundant small nuclear RNA in the mid-70s but a possible function has only recently been suggested. Two independent studies have found that 7SK RNA binds the CDK9/cyclin T complex (known as elongation factor P-TEFb). The record is from Rfam by way of RNAcentral. Lineage: Eukaryota; Metazoa; Chordata; Mammalia; Rodentia; Cricetidae.